GGGCAAUAACUGCUUGAUCCAAGGAUAAAUCUGACUGCCAUUCUGGGGUCAAGAAGGAAUUUUUACCUAGCUUGUUGCAAAAGUGUGCCUUAAACUGGAUUUUUUGCCUUCUUUUGGAUCAACAGCAAAAAACAAAUGUGAGGAAGGCUGAACUUAAUAUUUUGUCUGUUGUAUUUUCCUUUAUUCUGUAUAUGUUAUCAGUCAAAAAAGUAAUGAACAAUGUGAUAUCUACAAAGCUUGCUAUGUGUAAUGCAAUAUUCAUAACCGUCUUAUUUGUGAUCAGAUACUUGACAAAAAACAAAACAAAUAAAACGUUGAAACUAGAUUGUCAGUUCCACGGGAAACAGGAUCCUUUACUCCUCCUAGAUUUGUCAAAUUUUGUAUUGUC
This is a non-coding RNA of Pelobates cultripes (western spadefoot toad), 388 nucleotides long. NCBI's taxonomy places the organism in Eukaryota, Metazoa, Chordata, Amphibia, Anura, Pelobatidae. The record is from the annotation of a GenBank genome assembly.